This 67-nucleotide transfer RNA is filed under the name Alosa alosa (allis shad). RNAcentral describes it as "tRNA-OTHER". It matches the Rfam family "tRNA". Rfam says of the family: Transfer RNA (tRNA) molecules are approximately 80 nucleotides in length. Their secondary structure includes four short double-helical elements and three loops (D, anti-codon, and T loops). The record is from RNAcentral. Lineage: Eukaryota; Metazoa; Chordata; Actinopteri; Clupeiformes; Clupeidae.
GCUUUUAGCUCAGUGGUUAGAGCUUUCAUCUCCCAUGUCAAGGGGACGGGUUCGAGGCCCGUGAGCG